This 429-nucleotide ribosomal RNA is filed under the name uncultured archaeon. Its description in RNAcentral is "bacterial SSU rRNA". It matches the Rfam family "Archaeal small subunit ribosomal RNA", at positions 474 to 903 of the family's 1478-position model. The record is from RNAcentral.
UACCAGCUCUCCGAGUGGUGUGGAUGUUUAUUGGGCCUAAAGCAUCCGUAGCUGGCUGGGCAAGUCCCCUGUUAAAUCCACCGAUUUAAUCGUUGGUGUGCGGGGGAUACUGUUCGGCUAGGGGACGGGAGAGGCCGACGGUAUUUUCGGGGUAGGGGUGAAAUCCUAUAAUCCCGGGAAGACCACCAGUGGCGAAGGCUGUCGGCUAGAACGCGCCCGACGGUGAGGGAUGAAAGCUGGGGGAGCGAACCGGAUUAGAUACCCGGGUAGUCCCAGCUGUAAACGAUGCAGGCUAGGUGUUUGGGCGGCCACGUGCCGCUCUAGUGCCGCAGAGAAGUCGUUAAACCUGCCGCCUGGGGAGUACGGCCGCAAGGCUGAAACUUAAAGGAAUUGGCGGGGGAGCACCACAAGGGGUGAAGCUUGCGGUUU